RNAcentral lists this non-coding RNA (96 nucleotides) under Schnuerera ultunensis. Its description in RNAcentral is "Clostridium ultunense THF-I sequence". It matches the Rfam family "THF (Tetrahydrofolate) riboswitch aptamer". From Rfam's summary of the family: THF riboswitch presents a pseudoknot that joins P1-P2 and the loop of P3 and two THF binding. Lineage: Bacteria; Bacillati; Bacillota; Tissierellia; Tissierellales; Tepidimicrobiaceae. RNAcentral also lists the same sequence under 1 other name. The record is from RNAcentral.
GGCAGAGUAGGUAGUUUGCGUAAAGUGUUAGAGGAUGGGACGUUGCCUCUAAACGAAGAGCUUUUUAGCUUGCGUUAAACUAUCGCGUUCGCUGAC